RNAcentral lists this ribosomal RNA (450 nucleotides) under uncultured bacterium. RNAcentral's name for it is "partial 16S ribosomal RNA". It matches the Rfam family "Bacterial small subunit ribosomal RNA", at positions 29 to 523 of the family's 1533-position model. The record is from RNAcentral.
AACGAACGCUGGCGGCAGGCUUAACACAUGCAAGUCGAACGAGAUCUUCGGAUCUAGUGGCAGACGGGUGAGGAACACGUGGGAACAUCCCUUUCAGUUCGGAAUAACGUUGGGAAACUAACGCUAAUACCGGAUACGUCCUUCGGGAGAAAGAUUUAUCGCUGAAAGAUUGGCCCGCGUCUGAUUAGCUAGUUGGUGAGGUAACGGCUCACCAAGGCUACGAUCAGUAGCUGAUCUGAGAGGAUGAUCAGCCACACGGGAACUGAGACACGGUCCCGACUCCUACGGGGGGCAGCAGUGAGGAAUAUUGGGCAAUGGGCGCAAGCCUGACCCAGCAACGCCGCGUGGAGGAAGACGGCCUUCGGGUUGUAAACUCCUUUUACGGGGGAAGAGGAAGGACGGUACCCCGCGAAUAAGUCACGGCUAACUACGUGCCAGCAGCCGCGGUAA